Nyctereutes procyonoides (raccoon dog) is the source of this 2280-nucleotide long non-coding RNA. RefSeq lists it as uncharacterized. The transcript is spliced from 3 exons. The record is from RefSeq and is a predicted model, not a curated record. NCBI's taxonomy places the organism in Eukaryota, Metazoa, Chordata, Mammalia, Carnivora, Canidae.
CUUCACACCACCCAAUGAAGAACAUUCACAAUUCUUUCUGACUUUAUGGCUGCAAGUUGCACUUUUUACAGCAGCAGAAGCAUCAGCCUCCUUACCAAAUGUGGAUAUUCAAUUGAAACCUGAAAUCAUCCUAGACCAAGAUCCUCCAGCCUCACCUCUCAUUCCAGCCACCCCUAUGGCCACCUGUCCAAGGUCUGCUUCAGCCAAUUCAGCGCAGGAGCAAACUUUCUCCCUGUGUGCCUCUCACUACCUGCCUUGUUUCUCUGCCAACUUCAGGUAUUGAGAGAGCCUUCAUGAAAGAAGAAAAGGAGUGAUGGAAGUCAGGAGAAAAGGAGUAGAGAGAGCGAAGUUGGGAGAACCCUAACAGAGCAAUAAUCACUGGUUUAUGAAAUAGCCGUGGCGUAAGGAAUGACUUCUCACCAUUGAAGCACUAGCAGUCAGUGAAAUUUGGCACCUCCCCAACCCUCCUCCAUAUCAUGAUCCUCCACUCCAUCCUCCCCUGCCCAUUCCCUCUACCUCCUGCCCUUCCCUGCAUUUGAGAGCACAGCUUGCAUACACACCUUUGGGUCAAAGCCUUGGGUCCUUCCAAGAGGAACAAAUGUGAGGGUCUUUUUUUUUUUUUUUUUAAAGAUUUAUUUAUUUGAGGGGAGGAGGGGCAGAGGGAGAAGAGAAUCCCAAGCAUACUGUGCCGAGCAUGGAGCCCCACGUGGGGCUCAUCAGUCCCAUAACCCAUAAGAUCAUGACCUGAGCAGAAACCAAGAGUUGGAUGCUUAACUGACAGCCACCCAAGUGCCUCCCCCAUUUUUUUUUUUUUUUUUUUUUCUGGAUCAAGCAAAGGGGUCAGCAAUUCAUUGCCUACACUUCAAGCCUGGAACAAAGAGUUUCUAGAAGCACUUCAGAAGCUUCCUAAAACUUACACUGCCUUUGAAUCUUUUAUUUGACAGUUGGGCUGCCUAUUUUUCAGCCUUCUUAACAGAGUUAACAUAACCAAAUCCUUCCAAACCCUGCGACCUUCGAGUAUUUUGUACAGGGAAAAAAGAAAGAAAACCUUUAAAGAAUAUGCAAAGUUGGGAAGUCCGAUGGAAAAUAAGUGUCUUCAGAUGUGAUAUGAAUAGUGCAGCUAUGGCAAUGUUUCUAGACGCAUAUAGCAAUAUGUAUCAAAAACCCCCAAAACACACAUACUACUAGAUAGGUCCAGGUAUUGAAAUUCUUGGCCUUAUUAUAAAGGAAUCAUUAUAGAUGUGCUCAAAGGCAAGGGCACUUACCCAAAUGUUGUCCUAAUAGUAAGAAAUCAAACAAAAUGGUAGUAUGAUUGAUUAUAUAGUUUAUCUAUCCAAUGAAAUACCAAAUUAAUUGUGCUAUUAAAAUAUAUGACUAGGAAAGUCAGAAGAAAUAGACACAAAUAUGCUUAGCCAUUGUUAAUGGGGUGGUGUGCUUUUCAUUUCUUUAUACUGUUCUGAAUAAUCCAAAAUUGCUAGAAUGAAUAUGUAGGGUUUUAAGAAUAAGGGGCAUUUGAAAUUUUAUUUUUUUAAGAUUUUAUUUAUUGAGAGACGGGGGUGGUGGUGGUAGGCAGAGGCACAGGCAGAGGGAGAAGCAGUCUCCAUGCAGGGAGCCGGACGUGGAACUCGAUCCCAGGACUCCAGGAUCACACCCUGGGCUGAAGGCAGGCGCUAAACCACUGAGCUACCCAGGGAUCCCCUGGUAUUUGAAAUUUUAAAAAAUGACAUGAAAAUUGCCAUAGUUCUCUGUCCAUUGUUAUAUAGGAAUAAUUUAUUGAAUAUCCACAUGGUGGGCUCAGGGGUUUUCUAAUACUUAGGUGGCGAGUUACAGAAUUAACUGCACUUAUUAGCAAUAACACACCUCAACAGUUCUCAUUUAUUGGCCAUGAAAAUGGGCAAGGCAUUGUGCUAUAUUUAUAUAAGCUAUCUGUUUUAUUUCUUAAAGCAAACCCCUUGGUAGAUAGGACUCUCAUUUUUGCAGAUGAGGAAGAUGAUGCUCCAGGAAGUUAAAUGUGAGAUCUAAGGACUUCAGUCCAAAUAUUCUCCUGGCACAUUUAGCCUCUAAGCUACAUUACUUUCUUCAUGUAGUUUUAAAGCUGAGCAUCAUCUCUUCUCCUGAUCAUUUGGAGCAAGAACAAGAGGGGUACAGAGGAAAGCAGUUUUAGUAGAAUCACAGCCGCAAGGCAAAGGUCUCUGUAUGAUAGACUGAACUUCACUUUGUGAUCCUAUUUGCUCUAUAAUGUCUGAAAAACAUGAUAUAAUUAACUUAUGUGGUGCUUAA